RNAcentral lists this ribosomal RNA (550 nucleotides) under uncultured bacterium. RNAcentral's name for it is "bacterial SSU rRNA". It matches the Rfam family "Bacterial small subunit ribosomal RNA", at positions 355 to 896 of the family's 1533-position model. The record is from RNAcentral.
UAGGGAAUCUUCCGCAAUGGACGCAAGUCUGACGGAGCAACGCCGCGUGAGUGAAGAAGGUUUUCGGAUCGUAAAACUCUGUUGUUAGAGAAGAACAAGUGCUAGAGUAACUGUUAGCGCCUUGACGGUAUCUAACCAGAAAGCCACGGCUAACUACGUGCCAGCAGCCGCGGUAAUACGUAGGUGGCAAGCGUUGUCCGGAUUUAUUGGACGUAAAGCGAGCGCAGGCGGUUCCUUAAGUCUGAUGUGAAAGCCCCCGGCUCAACCGGGGAGGGUCAUUGGAAACUGGGGAACUUGAGUGCAGAAGAGGAGAGUGGAAUUCCAUGUGUUGCGGUGAAAUGCGUAGAUAUAUGGAGGAACACCAGUGGCGAAGGCGACUCUCUGGUCUGUAACUGACGCUGAGGCUCGAAAGCGUGGGUAGCAAACAGGAUUAGAUACCCUGGUAGUCCACGCCGUAAACGAUGAGUGCUAAGUGUUGGAGGGUUUCCGCCCUUCAGUGCUGCAGUUAACGCAUUAAGCACUCCGCCUGGGGAGUACGACCGCAAGGUUG